Molecule: small nuclear RNA, 158 nt
Organism: Cynara cardunculus var. scolymus (artichoke)
Lineage: Eukaryota; Viridiplantae; Streptophyta; Magnoliopsida; Asterales; Asteraceae
Product: U1 spliceosomal RNA
Exons: 1
Source: RefSeq, a predicted model, not a curated record
AUACUUACCUGGACAGGAUCAAUGAAUGAUAAAAAAGGCUCAUGGUCUAGGUUGGUGACUUCCAUUCACUUAGGAGGGGUCCCCAUUUAAGGUCGGCCCAAGUGGUCGAGCCUACGUCAUAAAUUGUGACAGUGGGGCAGCGUUCGCAUGGUCUCCUC